AAUCCUAAUCUGGUCGAAGGAACAGAGAUAAUCGGACAUGCACUGUAGCAUGUGGGAGAUAGCGUGUACCUGCCGCUCAGUACAGCCUUUAGUAUGAUGGGAACCACUGCCUUGUUGCCAGAAGCUGGUAGGACUUCAAAAAUUUUUUCAGGUAGAUAGCGGAGAGAUGCUUAUAGUUUCCUGCCUCCGACAAAUUGUCAUCAGGACACAGAGCUGUAAUACAAUGAUCCUGACGUAUACAAGCCAGACCGCAGCCGUCAGGGUCAGGGGUCAGACUAGAAGUGGACUCUUGACCAGCACAGUCACAGAAAUGAAUUUAUAUGAUGUUUUGAUAGAUAUAUUUGUGUUUAUUUAGAGCGGGGCUACCUGUCUGUAGUUUGACAUUAUUGGUCCUUGUUACCAGACCAUCCAUAGAGAAAGGUGUGGGAAACAUAGAAUUAAAACCUUUAUCCCUCUUUGAACAUUGAUAAGGAGAGCAAUUGUGAAAACAUCCUGUCCCACCUACAAGUGUUGAUCUGUGGUGAGGAAAUCUCAAUCUUUCUAAGUCAACUGGGGUUGUAUAGUCGGUGACAUUGUGGUGUAGUACAAUGAAAGUGUCCUGGAAUGUUUGAGAAUAGCCUGUUGUUUGGUGAUGACCAUACAGUUUUAUUGUGUAUUCCUUGACUUUGUUCUAUUUAUCCUAGAAGGAUAAACACAGGUGCACAGGUUUCUGAUGAUAUCAGAGAGUUAGAAUGUGUUUUACAUAAUGUUGUCUUAAUCCUACCUGGUAACUUUUUAACACCUUGUGUUUGUUGUAUUCCCUUAAAAAACAACAUAUUUAAUUGUUAUUUUG
Molecule: long non-coding RNA, 832 nt
Organism: Ylistrum balloti
Lineage: Eukaryota; Metazoa; Mollusca; Bivalvia; Pectinida; Pectinidae
Exons: 3
Source: RefSeq, a predicted model, not a curated record